GGCCGAGUGGCGGAAUUGGUAUACGCGUUCGACUUAAAAUCGAAUGGAGCAAUCCGUACGGGUUCAAGUCCCGUCUCGGCUACCA
Molecule: transfer RNA, 85 nt
Filed under: Candidatus Saccharimonadota bacterium
Lineage: Bacteria; Candidatus Saccharimonadota
Description: tRNA-Leu
Rfam family: tRNA
About the family: Transfer RNA (tRNA) molecules are approximately 80 nucleotides in length. Their secondary structure includes four short double-helical elements and three loops (D, anti-codon, and T loops). Further hydrogen bonds mediate the characteristic L-shaped molecular structure. tRNAs have two regions of fundamental functional importance: the anti-codon, which is responsible for specific mRNA codon recognition, and the 3' end, to which the tRNAs corresponding amino acid is attached (by aminoacyl-tRNA synthetases). tRNAs cope with the degeneracy of the genetic code in two manners: having more than one tRNA (with a specific anti-codon) for a particular amino acid; and 'wobble' base-pairing, i.e. permitting non-standard base-pairing at the 3rd anti-codon position.
Source: RNAcentral